RNAcentral lists this long non-coding RNA (402 nucleotides) under Triticum aestivum (bread wheat). RNAcentral's name for it is "long non-coding RNA (TAES_LNC025281)". Lineage: Eukaryota; Viridiplantae; Streptophyta; Magnoliopsida; Poales; Poaceae. The record is from RNAcentral.
UGCCCGGAUGGUCUUCAGGUCUGAUGCUGACUUGCCGUAUAUGCAUGGUGCUGCUCAACUCUCAAAGCUGUGGAAGGUAGAGCCAGCCGAUUCUGCCAAUGAUAUCACACUGCAUUAUUUUCUUUGUGUCACCGUCAAAAUUAUUUUCUUUGUGUACUGUGACAGUGGGCGGGAUAUUUUUUUGUCCGCUUCUUGAUCAUAUUACCUAGUCAAAGAUUUACAGCGUAUGAUUAAUGUCUGGUAUCCUUUCAGGCCUUUGUAAGUGAGAAGCUUCUGCAGAGAAAAGAACCCCCAUCGAUUUGGAAAAUACGAGUCCAUUUUUUGAGUGACGCCAAUGGAGGCAAUGCAUCGUAUUCAACACUGGUAUAGACUUGCUGUCGCAAAGAGGUAUUCCUUUUCCGU